Molecule: long non-coding RNA, 1493 nt
Filed under: Homo sapiens (human)
Lineage: Eukaryota; Metazoa; Chordata; Mammalia; Primates; Hominidae
Description: non-protein coding LINC01777:16
Source: RNAcentral
CCAACUCCUGAGAUCCCAUUCGGAAGCUGCUGAUCACCAGUUUCAAGUGUUUCUGUUUAUUGGGAGACUGCCUUCCUCUGGCACUGGCAGUGACCAAUUAUUAUUUUAGAGAGACUGUUAACGGCCUGACCAUCACCUGAUGAAUAUCAGGAAUGUGGCCUGACAUUCCUGGUACACGGAGCGCCUUCUUUUCGUUUAGAGCAUUGGUGUCUCCACAUUAGAAGCAUCCUAUGUAGCUGUUCUGCUUGCAGCUGCCCAAGUCUGCCUGGGCCUCCUGCAUGAGGUCAUGAGUCUUAAUAAAGCCACUGACCCACACAUUUGGAAUCGUACUGACUUUUCACAACUAACAGCCAACACAUUGCCAAGAAGCAAUUCAAUUGUUGAGGAUAUCACAUCAUGCCAGGGAAAGAGAGAUGGAAUUCAGAAAGCCUGGGAUAUUGCAGGCCUGAGACCGGCCCCCAGUGUGUUGUGACUCCUGAGGUCUCUCAGCUCUCCCUCAACCCCCAGGAGAAUUGCUCUCCACUCCAGAAGCCGCCUGAUGGGGAGGCUGACCCCUCUCCAGGACUGACUGAUCCAGGUACAAAGGGUCCCCUUGCGGCAGUGGUGGAGCACCCUGUACAGCAGUUUGGGCUCUGGGCUCUCCUUUGAGAUCAGGCCAAUGCCUGAGUCAUCCUGGCUUGACAAGGUGGGAUGAAGGUCUCCUCCACCUCCAGGUUCCUUCCUUCCCUCCUUUAUAGGUUUAUCCUGACAGUAACCUCUCCCCAGGUCGGAAGACCUCUCAGGCUCUGUUUCUAGGGAGGCUGACCUGCUGACAAUGCUCCUAGCUGGAUUUUGUAAGCGGUCUUGAAUAAAGUCUUCCUCACUGUUUUAACAAGAGACAAGGUAAUGUUCAUUGAACAUCUUAUACAAAGAGGAAACCUGGCACAGAAGUGGACAUGCACUCGGAGGGAAAAUGCCAAGUGACAAUGAAGGCAGAGAUCAGGUGAUGCAUCUGCAAGCUGAGCAACAUCAGGAAUUGCCAAAAACCACCAGGAGCUGGAGAGGCCUGGGACAGAGCCUCCCACGGAGCCUCAAGGGAGCCAGCCCUGCCCACGCCUUGAUCUUUGACGUCCGACCUCAAGAACUAUGAAAGAACCCAUUUCUGUUGGUGAAGGCUCCCCGUCUGUGGUCCCCUGUCCUGGCAGCCCUAGGAACCUGACCUCUGGUCCCUCUGCAUCCCUGGCAUCACUCUGCCUCCCUCUCUUUUUCUCCAGUGAAUCCAACACACUCUCAGUGAGACAGCCAGGUGGCAAGGGGUUCUCGGAGAAACUCCAGCCGGCCUGCUCGCUGGGCAUGUACACUGGAGUGGAGCCACAGAAGUUCACGGUGUUUGCAGCAGGGAGGAGCCUGGCCACUCCUCUUCCUGGUUGGAACCUGGAAUUUAUUUUGUGAGGCGGGAAGCCUAUACUGGGGAGACUCUUGCUCUGCUGAGUCCCCAUUCCCCCUUUAUUUUC